AUACUUGUAGGCCCGCUCCACGAAGCGACGGUUGGUGAGGGCGGAGUCCUCUGCAGCCAGGCUUCGCUGCCGAUGAGGGGCCUCAGCCUUGAAAAAUAGAGCCUCCAGCACAGCCUUGGAUGCAAGGUCGUGAUCAAAGUCAUUGCAGGUUAGAACCUUCUUAAGCUUCCUGCAGGUCAUAUAGGGGAAGCGGAUGAAGCGGCCCAGGCGUGUACCAAGGAUUUCACGCCGCUCCUCCAAUUUUGGGUACUGAGCCCUGGCCCACUUCAACACAAAAUCAUACACUGCAUCCUCUGAUGCAACCUGGAGAUCAUCACUGGAC
This 322-nucleotide long non-coding RNA is filed under the name Vitis vinifera (wine grape). RNAcentral describes it as "long non-coding RNA (VVIN_LNC005227)". The record is from RNAcentral. Lineage: Eukaryota; Viridiplantae; Streptophyta; Magnoliopsida; Vitales; Vitaceae.